GUAAACGAUGUUCAUUCGCUGUCGGCGAUACACAGUCGGCGGCUGAGCGAAAGCAUUAAGUGAACCACCUGGGGAGUACGAUCGCAAGGUUGAAACUCAAAGGAAUUGACGGGGGCCCGCACAAGCGGAGGAACAUGUGGUUUAAUUCGAUGAUACGCGAGGAACCUUACCUGGGCUUAAAUGUAGAUUGCAUAGAGUAGAAAUAUUCUUUCCCUUCGGGGCUAUUUACAAGGUGCUGCAUGGUUGUCGUCAGCUCGUGCCGUGAGGUGUCGGGUUAAGUCCCAUAACGAGCGCAACCCUUAUCGUUAGUUGCUAGCAGGUAAUGCUGAGGACUCUAGCGAGACUGCCACCGUAAGGUGAGAGGAAGGUGGGGAUGACGUCAAAUCAGCACGGCCCUUAUGUCCAGGGCUACACACGUGUUACAAUGGCAGGUACAAAGGGCAGCUACCACGCGAGUGGAUGCUAAUCUCUAAAGCCUGUCCCAGUUCGGAUUGGAGUCUGCAACCCGACUCCAUGAAGUUGGAUUCGCUAGUAAUCGCGCAUCAGCCAUGGCGCGGUGAAUACGUUCCCGGGCCUUGUACACACCGCCCGUCAAACCAUGGGAGCUGGGGGUGCCUGAAGUC
Molecule: ribosomal RNA, 623 nt
Filed under: uncultured Bacteroidota bacterium
Lineage: Bacteria; Pseudomonadati; Bacteroidota
Description: bacterial SSU rRNA
Rfam family: Bacterial small subunit ribosomal RNA
Source: RNAcentral